AGAAGAUAGGUUGGACCCCACUAAAUUCACUAUUGCAUACAAAGAUUUACUGGAAUAAACACCUUUAGACUCAUAUUGCCAGAUCAAAGAGUCAUCCUCAUGACAGAACUUAGUGAGUUUGAUGAUAUUAACCAAAUCAAACCACUGAAUCAUUAGUUCAUUACAAAAAAUUAUCCUAAAUGUACAUUUAAGUUCUUGUCCGUCCCGAAGCUUUGAAAUAGUUAUAUUUUUCUCAUUGAUCAAAUAGUAUAUGUCCCAAAAUUGGAUGGCGAGAGGUGCAUUAGAGCAUCUCUAGCACACCCCAUAUUUUUCCGACCCGCAUAAGUCGUUUACAGUUCGACGAAGCGGGAUUUUGCGGGGCGAAAUAGUGCGCUGUAGAAUAGACCCCGUAUAUGAAACUGUAUAAUUUGAAAAAAACUUUCACGGAAGAAAUUACAACCACACUGAUCUUUUAUAGUUCAUCACAUACUACAUGAUCAUACAUGCUACAUUCUACUACUACUACUAUAGGGGGUUGGGGAUCUCGCCGGAGCUAACUAUCCUACCGCACUAAGAAAAAUAGAGCUUACCAGAGCUCGUGUUGUAGUUGUCCAGCAACAGCGCGGGCAAAAGGUUGUCCGCCUCCAUCGGGGGAAGGAAGUCCUCCGGCCCGACGACGCCCCCGGCACGUCGCUCCGGCCCCGUCCAUCUUCACCAAGGGGAGCUCCUCUAGCUCCCUCUUCACCGGGGUGAGGGAGGAGUGCGAGCUCGACGCCUUGAAGGAGUUGCUGCUGCCGGAGAAGAGGCGGCCUCGCACACGGUCGUACUCCUCUGUCUCGCGGCGGAGGAGCGACGGUGGUGGCGACCGGCCCCAGCGCGUGUAUCGUAGGGCGGUGCGCUUCCGCGCCGCGUCGUAUUUGACGCAACGCACCCUCUCGGGGUCAUCGUUGCCAUGGCGACUGAAUUUGGUCAUCUCGAGCGAUGGAUUGAAGGGGCGAGGCGACAGAUUGGAGGUGCGGGCGGCGGAUCUAAGGCGUCGACGGUGAGGGGUGGGGAGUUUUCGCGGUGGCGGUGGGAUAGGGUUCGGACCCGUAUCCAGCAGUCGAACCCGCACAUAUAGCGGUCGGGGGUCUCGUUUCCGAGCCACUGUAAAAAAUGAUCCAAACACAUAUAAUCGCCCAAAUUUUAAAGUUUCGGCAAUUAUACAGCUCUACUAGAGAUGCUUUUACCAUACCAAAUGUCUCCACAAAACCGAAUAAGUCUACCAUUGCCCACUGCGCAUUUUCUACCGCACUCUCACUGUCUGGCAGUGCCCACAUGAAUGUCUUCCAGAAUUGAGAAGAGUUAUUAUCAUGACAACAUAGGAUAUUAGGCCACUUUCAAUGCAUUGGGUGCUAAGAUGAGGUACUAAACACAUUAAAUUAUUUAGUAACUAUAGUCUUCAAUGCAUAGUUGCUUAGCUUAUUGUAGCUAAGCUUCCUUAUUUAAUGCUUUCGCAACUAAAGUUGUGUAUGCAUUGGUGCAUUUCUUUCAUUUAAUUCUUUGACCUAGGUUCACGCACUUAGCAUUGUUUCUUCCUGGGUCACCACACUUAUCUCUCUCCUAUUAGUUAGCUUGGCACAUUAAAAAAAUUAUCUACGUGACAGCCUUAGCACCUGUAUAAGAUGAAGCAUUGGGAGUAGCCUUAGGGCUUUUGCUAUUAUACUUACUAUCUAUCAGCGUCCUCGAGAAAGAACCUUCCCCAGCUAUGUAUCUUUUCACUCUAGAACAUAUCAAACAAAUGUCCUAAAAUUUACAACCCCCAUACCUCCAAACUCCUUCUUCAUACAUAUAAAAGGUGAGUUAACUAAGUGUUUAUUAUUUUGUCCUUCGCUAUCACUUCAUUGACACAAGAGCCCACUUGGGAAAUUUAACAAAGGACAGAAAAUAUUUUUUCAGAUAGGGGCUCUCUAUUACUUAAAAGAUUUAAGCACUAUACCCCACCCAUGUAUAGCCAAGAUGCACACAACCAAACAAUGUCUUCUCAUACAAACGAGAAUAAAAGGCGAAAUACAAAGAAACAUGCAUAGUCCGUAUAAUGCAUAAAGCGAAAGGGGGGUGGAUCAUGCUGCCACCCAUUUUUGGAUAAAACUACCCCUCGUCAUAGCCUGUAAUCAUGUACACACCUUCGUAAAUAGCUGUCGAUUCUCCAGACGGUGUAGAGAGAACAAUAAACAAAGAACCCUGAUACAUCUCUAGAUAACCUCCAUGAAAAAAGUAAUUUUAUUGUUAAAAAAUUUAUCGUUUCUACAUAGUCAAACCGACCAAGUAAUAGCCAUAGCAACCAAGUAACUUUGACCCUAAGAAGUGUUUUAAACCUAUGAUCAGUCGAAUGUAGCCAGUUGCAAAUACAUUAGUAACACUACAUGAAGGAUACAACUUAGAUGACUGACCAUAUAAAAUGAGCCAAAUUGCAUUGAAAGAAUAAAUGUUCUGUUGUGUCACUAUGGUGACAAAAGAUAAAUUGCAGACUAUCUUGACAAUUCCUCUUAAUAAGGUAAUCUUUAGUAAGAAUGACUCCGCGACAAAGAUACCAUGCAAAGAUAUUAUUCUUAAGUGUUAUCUUCAUCUUUUAGAUCUUCUUGUCAUUAUCAACUAUCACAUAGGUUUAGCAGAAAUUUGAUGUUCUGUUCAGUCAUGAUCUCACUAACUCCACUUGUUUAUGUUUACCAUUGGGAAGGGAACGUUGGAAGGCGGUCAUGUGGUUGCUGUGAAAAGGCUGAGCGAGGACUCAGACCAGGGAGCAGAGGAGUUCAAGAACGAGGCAAUUCUGAUUGCCAAGCUGCAGCACCGGAACCUAGUCCGCCUUCUUGGCUGCUGCACCGAGGGGGCCGAGAAGCUGCUCCUACGAGUACCUUCCCAACAAGGGCCUCAAUGCCAUCCUCUUCGGUACAUAUAAUGUUUAAGUCAUCACAACCGAAAUUACUGCAUUGUUUUAGCUUAAGUUUCAUAUGACAUGUUUGCUGCAGACAGUGUGAAGAAAGCGGUGCUGGACUGGCCGACGCGGCUGGGCAUCAUCAAGGGGGUGGCAAGGGGGCUGCUCUACCUGCACCAGGACUCGAGGCUGACGGUGAUACACAGGGAUCUCAAGGCAAGCAACGUGCUGCUGGACGCCGAGAUGCGGCCCAAGAUCGCCGACUUUGGCAUGGCCAAGAUCUUCGGUGACAACCAGGUGAAAGCCAGCACCCGGAAUGUCGUCGGAACAUAGUGAGUUAUCUUAACACCUGUAAAGAAAAAGAAAUUCUUCUUGUUUCGAAUUUAUUUGUUCAAGUCCUUUUUUUUUUUUUGGUUUUAAGUUGGUACGCCAUUUAAGAAAAUGGUGGAACCUCUUAUGACGAGAAAGUAAUGUGUGGACAGUGGCUACAUUGCUCCUGAGUACUCGACGGGGGGCGUCUUCUCCGUCAAAUCCGACGUGUACAGCUUCGGCGUACUGCUGCUUGAGAUCGUGAGCGGCACCAGGAUAAGCGCAAUCGACGGCAUUAUGGAGUGUCCUAGCCUGACAGUCUAUGUAAGCACCUGAACAAAAACUGAUAGUGUCAAACCAAAUAUAUACUUGCAGUUAGUUUCCUUUUGCAGUACACCCCAUAUCAUGAUCAAAUCCAUAUUCAUCUUUUUAAAAGGCAUACACAGAUGGUUGAUUUGAUUGCUUCAUGUAGGCAUGGAGCCUGUGGAGGGAAGGGAGGAUAGGUAAGCUGGUGGAUCCAUCCAUGGCAGAGAGCUGUUCAGAGGAUGAGGCCAUGCUCUGCAUCCACGUCGGGCUCCUGUGCGUGGAGGACGACCCGAGCAGGAGGCCGCUCAUGUCGUCUGUCGUGUCCAUCUUGGAAAAUGGAAGCGCGCCAGUGGUGGCAUCGGCGUCUCUUCCAGCGCCGAACCAGCCAGGGUACUUUAAAAUGAUAGGAGAGAAGAGCCAGAGAAGCGAUCUCGAGAACACCAGGAACGCCAUGACCAUGACAGCUCUUCAUGGACGGUAGUAUAGCAGUUACUGCAGCUUUCAUCAGAAGGGAAGUUGCGCUAGUCCUAGUGUUCCGUUUCUUUCUUUUUUUUACCGGGGAAGACCCCUGGUUCAUAGAGCAUUUGUCACUGAUGGAAAUGAAAGGUUUAUUUAUAGGAGUGUCGAGUUUAUCAGCCUUGAAAUGAACUCUGUUGCUGAAUUGAAAUCUUUACCAUGUUAGACUGAAAAUUAUUCAAGCAGGUCGCCUCAAAUCUAUAGCUGACGACCAAAAGUGCGUUUUACAGAGGUAAGCACUAGCUGGCAUAUCCCCUGAAACCAAACUCUACUAAAAAAAGUUAGUUACAUUCCUAAUAACCAACCCCGGAUGACUAUAUUUGCUCCAGUCGCGGCCUUUGGACUAAAGAUAAGAGCAUCUCCAGCGUUCGGCCCCCUAAGGCCGUGAAAUAGCGCCGCCUGAGGACGCGGCGGCGGAAAAAACAGCGUGGGAGGGGGGGGGGGGGGCUCGGGUUCCCAGCCAUCGAUUUUGGUCCAUUUUCGGCGUAAAUUGACCCAUUUUCGGUGCAAAUUGGCCCACUUUCGGUGGUCUAUAAAACUUAGCUCGAUUACAUGAUCUAUCUCAUCUAAUCCCACCAUCAUUCAGCAAAUCUACAAAGGAAUUACUCACUCCCAGUGAUGAGCAUCAUAGCGGUGUUGAUGAAGAAGGGUUGGUGAUGACGACGGCGACGAAUCCACCUCUCCGAACCGCUAAACGGACUCCAGAUUAGCCCUCCGGGGAAAGAACAAGAGGUGGCGGCGGUUCCGUCUCGUGAAACGCGAUGAAAACUUCUUUCUAAUUUUUUUCUCCGAAGAUGUGAUUUUAUAGGACUGGAAUUAGGGUCGGAGGAGACACAUGGGCCCCACAAGGUUUCUGGGUGCGACCUGGGGGUGGCGUGGAGGGGGGGGGACGCCCUGUUGUCUUGUGCCCCCUGGCACACCUCCUCCGGUAGGUCUUUGCUCCAUAAUUCCUUAUAAAUACCAGAAAUAAUUCAUAAAAAAUUUCGUCCGAUUCCGAGAACUUCUAUUUCUACACAAAAAUAACAUCAAGGUAGUUCUGCUGAAAACAACGUUAGUCCGGGUUAGUUUCAUUUAAAUCAUGUAAAUUAGAGGUCAAAACUAGAGCAAAAGUGUUUGUAAAAGUAGAUACGUUGAAGAUGUAUCAUCGGUCAACCGCAGACUCAUCCGGCAGAGGCAGGCGAAGGCCGACACCCGCUUCGACGAGCUCGGCGCGGAUAUAGCGGCGAAGGAGGCCGCAUCGGAGCAGUCCGAGGGGGGGGGGAGCUGUGGCUACACCCCAUGUAUCCGCCAAUGGACACGUAGAUCGUUGAAAUCUUCGAUGAGGAGUGGUAGUUAGUUUUCUACGUAGUAGUACGUAGGUUUCUUUGGUUGGCGAGAUGUCUGGGCGCGUCCGGUCACUCCCUGCGGUUUAUUUGAGACGUGCCCGAUCACUCCGUGUGGACGCACCCAAACGCGGACGCAGGUGUUUGAGGGAUCAUUUUUUGCUAUCCUUGGUUGUAGAUGCUCUUAUGUUGCAGAUAUACACGGAAGUGAUACAACCGGACCAGGGUGUGGUACGAUGGUGCUGGCAUUGGACGCCGACAUUGUUUGUGGACGUCGUGGCCGAAGUGGCCAGCCUACGAGGCUCUUUUUUUACCAAGUGUUACUUAGUACUCCCUGUGUCCCGAAAUUUUUGUCUUAGAUUUGUCUAGAAAUAGAUGUAUCUGAAUACUAAAACGCGGCUAGAUACAUUCAUAUUUAGACAAAUGUAAGAUAAGAAUUUUAAGACGGAGGAGUACUUAGUACUUAGUUUACAAGGAAUUAAGCCAAUUACCGGUGUUUUUUACAUUCGGCCUACUCCCUUUGUUUUUCUUAAUCUGCAUAUAAAAUUUAAUUAAAGUCAAACAAUAAAAAGUUUAACCAAAUUUAUAUCAAAAGAUAUCAACAUCUGCAAUACUAAAACUAUAUGGUACGAAACUUAAUAUCAUGAUGCACCUAGUAAUCUUCAUUUCAUAUUAUGAAUGUUAAUAUCUUUUUCCUACUAGUAUAAAGUUGGUCAAAGUUUAUGAAGUUUAAUAUUAUCUUCGUCCGAAAAUAUUUGUCUUAGAAAUGAGUAAAUGGAUGUUUGUAUAAUCAAAAUAAAUCUAGAUACAUUUAUCUUUAAAAUAAUUAUUUCCGGACGAAAAGAGUAUUAAUCAAAUCUUAUAUACAUACUUAAAAAAAACGGAGAGAGUACGUGUCAAGCCACACGAAGACUUAUGAUUAUCUGACUCAAGGUAGCUGCAUGCGCCAUGAGCCAACCCCCUCCAAUCCCCCUUCUUGCUCGUCUCCCUCUUGUCUUGCUCCAGGGCGCGCUAGUAGAGUGCACUGUAGCGGCACGCCACCCCAGCUUGUGGUGGAGAGAGGUCUGUGCGUUACUUCCGUAAUAAUUUCCCGUAGACGACCCCUCUGGCUCAACUGUCGUUGUAGAACUAAGACGGCGCGUACGUAUGACGCGCACACACCGGAGACCGGACCAGUUCACCAUGGGUGCAAUGCAUGCCGAAGAGCACUAGUCAGUCGUAUGACUUCACAAAGUCGCGCCAUCGUGUGGUGUGGCUACGUCGCCUUGCAUUGCAGCCAAGAGCAACAAGGUUCAUGCACUGCCCUCACGAAGUGCCUGCACGCACCUUGAAUUUGCUCAAUGGACCUGCCGCCACGUUCCGCUGCCGUCCUCGUCCUCGCCGUCGUCGCCGCCUGCCUCCCGUGCAUGUCGGCCGAGGACCAGCUGGCCGUCGGGGACAAGCUCCUCGCCCGGGAUACCAUCGUGUCCGACAGCGGCGACUUCGCCCUCGGCUUCUUCUCCCCGGACGACUCACCCGCCGCUCCCGCGAGACGGUGGUACCUCGGCAUAUGGUACCACAGCAUCCCCGGGCCUCAAACCGUCGUCUGGGUGGCCAACCGGGACGCCCCAGCCGCCGGAGAGCCUACGCUCGCGCUGGCCAACGACUCCAGCCUCGUCCUGUCCGACGCCGACGGCAGCGUGCUCUGGACCACGCCCGGCGUGGGCACAUCGUCCUCGCAGCCGGCGCCAGCCGAGCUCGGGAACGACGGCAACCUGCUCAUCCUGCUGCCGAACGGCACGGUGGUGUGGCAGAGCUUCGACCACCCGACGGACACGUUCAUGCCGGGGAUGAAGGCCCGGCUGAGCCGCCGGACGGAGAGGCGUGACUGGAUCGUGUCCUGGACAUCCCCCCGCGACCCGGCGCCGGGCCCCUUCUCCUGCGGCCUGGACCCCGUCACGUCGCUGCAGCUGCUCAUGUGGAACCGCACGCGGCUCUAUUCGCGCACCCCCGUCUGGACGGGGUACGCCGCGUCCGGGACCAUCGUCAGCGCCGGCAUGGUCAUCAACACGGCGAUAGUGGUCGUGGGCACCGAGGAGGAGAUCUCCAUCACCUUCACAGUGUCCGGCAGCCCGACGCCCACGCGGUACGUGGUGACCAGCUCCGGCACGUUCCAGCUCCUCAGAUGGAACGGCACCGCGUCGGCCUGGGACACGCUCCAGUCGUGGCCGUCCAGCGGGUGCACCACCUAUGGCCGCUGCGGCGCGUACGGGUACUGCGACGCCACGGCGGCCCCGCCGUCGUGCAAGUGCCUCGAUGGGUUCGAGCCGGCGAUACCGGCGGACUGGAGCGCCGGCAGGUUCGAGCAGGGCUGCCGGAGAACGCAGGCGCUCCCGCCGUGCGGCGGCGGCGGGCAUGGUUUCCUGGAGAUGCGGAGCAUGAAGGUGCCGGACAACUUCUCGCUCGACGCCGGCAACCGGAGCCCGGAGGAGUGCGCGGCGAGGUGCGCCGGCAGCUGCUCGUGCGUGGCCUACGCGUACGUCGACCUGCACAGCAGCAGCGCGCGGCAGCUGCGGUGCCUGGUGUGGGCAGGGGAACUCGUCGACGCACAGAUGAUCGGCGCGCCCGGCCAGACGCUCUACCUCCGCGUGCCCGUUGCUGCAACGUCCACAGGUACGGCUGAAAGAAAAAGAACAUAUGCUUUGUUGUCCGAAACUUUGUCAAAGUUAUGAUGAAUGUUUACUGAAUUGAAAACAAAAAAGUGGGACAUGGAUAUCCAGUGAACGUUCAAUUUUCAAUGCUCGGCAAAUCAAACGUUUUUCAUCGCAAGUUGUGUUUCUUGAGGGUUAAAAGUUUAAUUUACGAGCAUGAAAAGUCCGUCUCAGUUUAUUUUUAUUAGAAAAUUAUUACAAUUGCAAGCUAUUUUUUUACAAGAAAGCCUUCGGGAUAUAGCUUUAUUCAACUUCAGAUAGUACUUACAUAAUCUGUUAAAAACUUCAAAAUGAAAUCAGGGGUGCGAGGCAGGAGGAUUAACACGUCUCUACUUAGGCCCUGUUUGAAACCAUAAUAGAUUAUGAUAAUCUAGAUUAUGAAAAUAAAUUAUAUAAUCUGGUUUAUAAAAAAAAUCUAGGUGGACAUGUUUGCAGACCAGAUUAUAUAAACUGUAAUCUAGGUUUUACAUUGCAUAAUAAUGACCCGUCUACCCUCUGUUUUUUAAAAAGAGGUGGAUGGCGGUGGUAGGAAUGUAAUUAUGUUUAACUUUGCAAGGAUAAUGGGUCAUUAGCAAUUCAUAAUCCGAUUUUACCUGGUGUAGAGUAGAUUAUAAGUUUUUAAUAAUCUAUCCAUCUAGUUUUUAUAAUCUACACCAUAAUUUGUCCUGUUUGGAGACAUAAUAGAUUAUAAAAACUAGAUUGUAUAAUCUGGAUGGUUCCAAACAAGGCCUUAGCUACCUCGUGAGCAACUAUGUUUAACUCCCUAACGGUGGUGGAGCUACAACCACAUCUUUGGGCGAGCUAAAACGGAUCAACUUAAAAAAUAAUACAUUAAUACAGUAUACAUCUGAAGUUUUGCUCUUAGGCCUCUCUCAAUGCUUCAUUUCGUAUAGGUGCUAAGGCUAUCAUAUAGACGAAAAAUCUAAUGUAGUAAAAGUAAUUUAGAGGAGAGAGAUGAAUGUGGUGACCUGGGAAAAAACAACGUCAAGCACGUAAACCUAGGCAAAACACUUAAAUAAAAGAAAUCCACCAACACAUGAACAACUUUAGUUAAUAAAUCAUUAAAUAAGGAGGCUUAGCUACAACAAUCUAAGCACCUAUGCAUUGAAGGCUUUAGUUGCUAAACUAUUUAAUGUGCUUAGCACCUAAUCUUAACAUCAAUGCAUUGAAAGUGGCCUUAGAGCAAGUACAAUAGUCCUAUUCAGUAGGCUACAAGGGAUUCCACCUCACCAAAAAUCUGAGCUGGAGGAGGGUAAAGACAGGAGAGAGAAGGGAACGGGCGUUGUCGUGGGUAUAAGCCUGACAGUAGAUGUGUAGGAUACGAAAAGGAUGGGCAGAGUCCUAGCUACGGCGAGGAUGUAUGAGUUCAGGCCCCUCUGCGAUGGAGGUAAUAGCCCUACGUCUCAGUUCUCAGGGAGCUUUGUUGUCGAGUGGAAUCAGGAAUACAAUGAGUUGCUAACCUCUUUACCAGUGGGGGAGGGUGGCUUAUAUAGAGUGCGCUGCCCUCCACAACGGUUCCGAUACAGGGGUGGAGUAGUGGCGAUUGAAUGUGUACGUUACAGGUAACCUACGCCCUAAAUGCCAAUAAAUGCACCUGGAAACGUACGACCGUUUCCCUCCAGGGGGUUACGAUGUACCGAGUGGUAUACAGUCGGUUAGCCUGAUAUGCUCCGAAUGCUAGUCUCCGACUGGACGAUCGAGAGUAAAUUACCGACUGGAUGACAGGGAUUCCUUAAUUCAGUCGGAGCUGACUAGGGGUCUAGUCCUUUGCGAGGGGUGGUCCUUGGAUAAGACCUACAGGGCAGGCCUAUGACCCUACCCUAGUACUAUAACCCCAUCAGGCGCUUCACUAGUCGCCCGGCUGCAGCACAAGACCCGAGAAAGUUUAGCCCACUUGGAGCUCGAAGCCGGCGACAGGGCCACUGCUCCCAAUCCCCUGCGUCUCACCAUCCAAUCAACUGCUUUUUUCCUUUCUUACCAUGCAUGCGAACAUUGAUUGCCCUGGCCUCAACAGCUCAUAUAAAGCCAACCUUAUUACACCAGACUUCUUCUACGAAGGCUAUUGUUGACAUGGCACCGAUAUACAGCCGGUAGCCGGCGUUUCUAUUAACCAUGCUCUUAGGGUCCAAAUUCAGCACCAGUCUUCAUUAAAUUUUCAUUAAGCUGGGUGGGCCAUGUCUGGUUUUGCCCAGCCAUAGCUCCGCCAUUGCUCCCUAAUUAAUACAAUGCUCGUAGUAACCUUACCAUGAUCACGAAAACAAUUUCGAAAAUCCUGACAACGCUGCCGUCAUCAUAGAAUGCUCGUCAUUUGAAUUUAAAGCUUGUACCACAAUGGGGUUACUUAAACUCACCAUUAGAUUGUUACAUCCACUGAUGUGUGCAAGUUUGAAACCUUCUAGAAACGUCGCGGCCUCGGUUGAGACUACACCCGCUACAUGUUCAAGUUUUGCGGUAGAAGCUGAGAUUCCGAAUGAUAUAUAGCUCUACAUGAACCAGAAUAAUUUUUCGUGCUUGCAUACUAAUUUUACAUCAUCAAAGAAUUAGCCAUGGACGGGGUGCGUGGAAGCUUGCUAUUCAUGUGCCAGAACCAUGAGUUGGUCGCGAGAUCUUAUGGGUUUCACCUCUAGCCUAUUUCAACGUGUUUGGGACUAAAGACUUUGUCGUCGUCGUUGUUGUUGUUGCUGCAUACUAACUUUGCAUCCCGGCGCCAAUAUAAAUUGUCAUAAAAAUUGUUUAAUUUGCCAUGUUUAAAAUUUGACGUAAGAUUCUUAGUCUUAUCGCCCUUUCAUGUGCAGGUGGAAAUGCAGUGAAAAUAGCAGUGCCGGUGGCAGCAUGUGUGCUGGUGCUCACAUGCAUUUUCUUUGCAUGGUUCUGGAGAUUCAGAGGUAUAGUUAUACUUUUAGCUCUAAACAUGUCAUACUAAAUCAUUCUUAGACAAAAUGCUCACAGCAUCAAUUUUACAGGCAAUUUUACAGACAAGAGGAGGAAAACCGAGAGCCAGAAGAAGCUAAUGACUGGCAGCGCGAACACCCCGAGCGAAGUCGGCGAAGGAGAUCACACUGGUGACCUUGAGUUCCCCUCCUUACGGUUCGCCGACAUCGUCGCUGCCACGGGCAAUUUCUCCAAGACAUUCAUGAUCGGGCGCGGAGGCUUCGGCAAUGUUUACAAGGUAUACUAACUUUUACCUCUCUUUCAGUCCUUCGGCAAGGUUUUCAAGGUAUCCUGUUUUGUGAGUUUAACACAAAAUUCACUUUUUUGUUUUACAAUUCGGAAGGGAACAUUAGACGGUGGACAUGUGGUCGCCGUGAAGAGGCUGAGCAAGGAUUCAGAUCAGGGAGCAGAGGAGUUCAAGAACGAGGCGAUCCUCAUCGCCAAGCUGCAGCACCGGAACCUGGUGCGCCUCCUCGGCUGCUGCACCGAGGGGGCGGAGAAGCUGCUCAUCUACGAGUACCUGCCCAACAAGGGCCUCGACGCCAUCCUCUUCGGUACAUACCAUAUGUUCAUUACAACUGAAAGUACAUAAUCUUUUUUACGAGUGAAAUACACCGUUAGUCCAUUGACUCAAAGAGUUCGUACAGUUUAUUAGGUAAGAACAGGCAAAAACUCAGGAAAUCAUCAAUUUACUCAUUAAUUUAACUAGUUUAAGUAAUCAGAUUAAGGACAAAAACGAUUCACCUUGUUUAAAGAAAUUCGAUUCACCCCCGAAAAACCACACACGUGGCUGCCAUAUCAUUGUACAUGUGUUCUAAAUAAGUUUAAUAACUAAAUUAAUCACUUCGUGAGUUUUUGGCCUAAACGGUACAAUUACAAACAAUUUAACUUAGAGCAUCUCCAACAGGCGCCCAAAAAAGCUUCACGCGUUAAAAGUUUAUUUUUUGGGCGCCGAACAGUUCCAACAGAUGCUGUAAUAUACUGCACGCGUUAAAAAGAUUUGGGCACGCGCUGAAAAACGCUAUCGCGCACAGCAUAUUUAGACGCCGGAUUGUGCGCCCUUUAUAAUUUGCACUGCGUGUUUUUUUUGUGCGUGUUUUUGCGCGUCUGCUAAAGCAAUGUUAGUCCUGACGCAUUAAAAGUGAUACAGCGCUAUAACUUUUAUUAGACGCGAAAUUUUUGUGCGGGUGUUGAAGAUGUUCUUAAUGGACGCAAUUCAUCUCUACUGAUUUUCAUUAUAGAAAACCAAUGGCUUAACUACUAAAAGAAGAAAAGAAAGAAGGACCACCAGACCCAAAUCCUUCACAGAGUGGGAGGGGCAGCAUCCCAAACUAAACCUGGGCAUAUCCCGGGCCAGGCUUUAGAAAACCCAAACUGAAAAUCUCAAGCCCGAGCCCGGUCCGAUCCGGUCAAAAAAACCAAUUUUCAGCCACCGAGCACGGCCCAAAUGGAUUAAAAAGAUGAAUUCCGGGUCGCGCCUGGACGGGUCGGGUCUCCGUGUAAAAUGAUGAUUUUCCAAAGCCCGAGCCCAUCCCAAACUAUUGCCCGAGCCUAGUUUCCAAGCUUGAACCCUUCCCAAACAUAAAGCCCGCUCCGGCCCGGCCCGGGUUUUUCGGGUCGGGUCACCGGGCAAUGAUCGGGCUGCCCAUGCCCAAGUUUAUCCCAAAUCAUGCAUAACUUCUUUUCUUCACCACCUCAACUUUGAAUAGCCCCCUCAACAAUCUUAAUGAAGCUCCGUUACUGCCCACCGGGACCAAAUUUUUGUCAUGCUUGGGGAAGGUUUUAAUCCAUCUAGAGAAACAAUCAUUUAAAUACACAGAAUAAAACAAACAUCAAAUGCACAUUUUAGUAAAUUCCACACCAAUUUAGCAUUAGAGUAGUUGAAAAACAUAUGAGCAAUGGUUUCCCCUGGCCAUUGAAGGCGCAUCCUUUCUCUCUUUUCCAUCUUCUUUUUAACAUGUUAUCUUCGGCCGGUAUACUUUUUCUGUUUACUAAGCAAACGUAAACUUGAUUUUACGAACAAUUUUAAUUUUCCACAAAAAAUUUCGUGGAAAUCCACAUCAGUCAACACCCACUUAAUUUGACCCUUCCGUCCAUACAUUUGGAUCUCCUCACAUCUGGCUUCCAAACUUUCCCAAAGAGUUAGGCUCUCUCUCGAGUCCCCGCAGAGUUCUUCAAAAGGAGAUAUCAUCACACCCCUUCUCAAUAGCAUCAGCUACCGAGAUAUCAUGGUUAAAGCUGACCAAGUAUAAUCUUGGAUAGGCUUCUUCUAGGCCUUGUUCGGUUGCCGUGGUUAGAUUCCACGAGUGAUUUCUAACCUCCUAGGGAUUAGGUGAUCUCCUACUUGUCACCCAAUCACCGCUAUUCCUCAUCCACAUGAAUCCUUCUGACCAAAACAUGUUCAGUUACUCCCUUUUCUAAUCCAUCCAUAUGAAUCAUUGCCCCUGUCAACGUCAGGUCAGAAUCGGUAGAGGAGAACGGGAAGAAGAGGAGAGGACAAGAAGGAGACGAGGCUUACCUGAUAGGAGAGCAAGGAGGGGUGGGGAAGUAUGUCGCCAUCAUCGCCUCCGGAUGGCCGCGCCGUCGCCGCCAAAUCGCGGGAGAGAGAGAGAGAGAGCCCGGGGAGACAUGGCUCGAUUUUUUUUCUUCCGACAUACAGAUUCGCCCAUCGGGAGGGAUUGGUUCCACGAGUAGAGAUGCGAGGAUUUUAUCCCAGACAGUUCCACGUGGUUUGAGAGGGAUUGGGCGGGGGUGUAGCCCCGACCGGGUUUAAUCCAACAAGCUCGUAAGCAGGCUGGGGUCGGAUCCCGGCCGGGCCGAAACCACGGGGUUCGGCGGGGAUUGGACACCAAUCCCGGCGGGGGAGGGGCUAACCGAACAAGGCCUUAGGGGUUUAUCAUCCAUCCAUCAAUCUUCCCAAAACCUAGUAUUUUUUUCAUCACCUAAUUUUUUCUUUACAUUGCUGAUAAAAGCAAUAUUUCAAUUCCAAAAUACUGGACCAGAAGUGAGAGUCACCCACUUCAGGUUUUAUACCAGAUAGACAAUUAUCUUUCACAUAUUUGUUAAUGAGGACUUCCCAGUUCCCACCAUAAUCCAUUUUCAGUUUCCAGUCUCCAAAACCACUUGGCUAGUAGGGAUUUGUUCAUUAAUUCUAGAUUUAUACUUGCUGCAGAUAGUGCGAGGAAAUCGGUGCUGGAUUGGUCGACACGGCUGGGGAUCAUCAAGGGCGUGGCAAGGGGGCUGCUCUACCUGCAUCAGGACUCAAGGCUGACGGUGAUACACAGGGACCUCAAGGCCAGCAACGUGCUGCUGGACGCCGAGAUGAGGCCCAAGAUCGCCGACUUCGGCAUGGCCAAGAUCUUCGGCGACAACCAGGUGAAAGCCAACAGCAAGCGCGUCGUCGGCACAUAGUGAGUAAUUUGAACACUUUACUGAAUUUACAGAGAGAAAAGGAAUUUUUUUGUGUUAAGUUGGUACAUAGCAUUUGACGAAAAUAAAGUGUGACAGCUCUUCUAACAAAAAAUGUGUGUGCCGACAGUGGCUACAUUGCUCCCGAGUACUCGACGGAGGGCGUCUUCUCCGUCAAAUCCGACGUGUACAGCUUCGGCGUGCUGCUGCUGGAGAUCGUUAGCGGCGUUAGGAUAAGCACAACCAGUGGCAUCAUGGAGUUUCCUAGCCUGAUAGUCUAUGUAAGCACCUGCAUUUACAAUUUUCUUCAGUACAGUCCUCUUUCUUGUGAUCGAAUCCGUAUUUGUAAUAGCAAGAAAAGGAACAAUUCAUGGUUGGUUUGAUUGUUUCAUGUAGGCAUGGCACCUGUGGAGGGAAGGGAAGGCAGGCAAGCUGGUGGAUCCGUCCAUGGCAGAGAGCUGUCUACAGGACGAGGCAUUGCUCUGCAUCCACGUCGGGCUCCUCUGCGUGGAGGACGACCCGAGCAGGAGGCCGCUCAUGUCGUCCGUCGUGUCCAUCUUGGAGAACGGAAGCGCGUCGGUGGUGCUGGCAUCGGCGUCUCUUCCGGAGCCGAACAAGCCAGGGUACGUCGGAAUGAUGGAAGAGAAGACCCAGAGAAGCGAUCUCGAGAACAGCAGGAACACCAUUGCCAUGACCGUUCUGCAAGGCCGGUAGCACAGUAGGGACUGCAACUUUCUUCUUCAGAAGGAAAGGUGCACUUAGUUCUAGCGUUUCAUUUUCUUUUCUUUUUUACCGUGGGAAAAAACGGAUUUGUAGAGCAUUUUUUACUGGUACAAAUGAAAUAUGUAUUUACAGGAGCGUUGAGUUGAUUUGAUGUGUCUUGAAAUGGAUGGUAUUGGUAUGAAUGUCUUGCUGGAUUUGAAUACUUUAGCUACUUGGAUGGACUUCCAGAAAAAAUUUCAGAGAGCUUCUGUAUUUGACAUUCAGAGGUUGAGAGAAACAAGUAAUUAAGCGGAAGAAGAAAGAUGCCUUGAUUAAUCUGAAAAAUAACCAGAUAUUACACAAACACCAUCUUUUUAGUGUACACACACCAACUCAUCAUCUCGACUCGCCCUCACAUGCAAAAUCUAUCAGUCCGGAAAGACAUGCAGCACAGCAGCAUCCAUCAGCAAUGAAGUUGUCGGCCAAGCGCGCGCGCGCGCGCUAGAGGUUGAGCUGACUGAGCUCACUUGCCGGGAACGAAGUUGGUGGCGAAAGCCCAGGCGUUGUUGUUGACGGGGUCGGCGAGGUGGUCGGCGAGGUUCUCGAGGGGGCCCUUGCCGGUGACGAUGGCCUGGACGAAGAAGCCGAACAUGGAGAACAUGGCGAGGCGGCCGUUCUUGAUCUCCUUCACCUUGAGCUCGGCGAAGGCCUCGGGGUCCUCGGCGAGGCCCAGGGGGUCGAAGCUGCCGCCGGGGUAGAGCGGGUCGACUAUCUCGCCGAGCGGGCCGCCGGCGACGCGGUAGCCCUCGACGGCGCCCAUGAGCACCACCUGGCAGGCCCAGAUGGCGAGGAUGCUCUGGGCGUGGACGAGGCUGGGGUUGCCGAGGUAGUCGAGGCCGCCCUCGCUGAAGAUCUGGGAGCCGGCCUUGAACCACACGGCCUCGCCGAACUUGACGCCGUUGCGGGCGAGCAGCUCGGGGAAGACGCAGCCGAGCGCGCCGAGCAUGGCCCAGCGGCAGUGGAUGACCUCCAGCUCACGGUUCUUGGCGAAGGUCUCGGGGUCAGCGGACAGCCCCGCGGUGUCCCAGCCGUAGUCGCCGGGGAACUCGCCGGUGAGGUAGCUCGGGGGGUCGCCGGAGAGCGGGCCGAGGUAGAGCACGCGGUCGGAGCCGUACCACGGGCUGCUGGACGCCGCCACCUUGGGCUUGCCCGCCGUCUUGCGCAUGGUGAUGCGGCCCUCGCCGAAGGGCGCCGCCCUGGAGGCCUUCACCGGGGUGCCGGCCAUCGCCGGGGAGGAGAGCGCCAUGGUCGCCGCGGCCGCCAUCGCUCGCUGCGUGCUAGCUAGCUAGCCUUGCUUCGAGUGAGCUGAGGCUGGCAGUGACAGUAGGAGGCGCUGGUGGUCGUUGGUGGUGAGGAGUGAAGCGGGAGCGCGCCGGGUUUAAAUAGGAGGAGGGAGCGAUCGGGUCCUUAUCCCGGGGAAUCUUAUGCCGAGUCGCCAUUGGCGCGCGGGGCGCGAGGCGGGCGGAUGGGGCGGCUGAGGUGGCCGCGCGGUGGCCACGGGAGCGGCGGAGGUCGGGAUUUUUUGCGGGGUUGUGGUGGAUUUGGCGCGGUGGAGAUGAGCCGCGAGGGCGACGGUGGGUCGCGGCCGCAGCCCACAUGGCCGCGUGUGGGGCGGCUCGCCGAUGUGGCCGCGCGCUGGCCAGGGGAUCUCCUGCUCACCGCGCCGGGCGGAAGGGGACGGAGGGCGAUGAGUUUGGCCGUUGCGCGCGGUGCAUUCUGAGGCGUGCCGCUGGCCGGAGGACCCCGGGAAAGAGAUAUCUGCCGUUGGCAGGUUGUGCCGGCGACCUACGUGGCCGACAUCUACUGGUUUCACGACUUCACGAGGUGCCCAAUCGGAACGGGUUCAGGACUAGCUCGGAACUGCCGUUUUAUUUUUCGAUUUGCACAUGCAUCAUGUAAAGAUCCUCUGCAAUGGUUGAAGUUUAAAAACUUUUAUCUUUAAAACCGUUAAUUCAAUCGAUGAUCUCUUUUCAUCGUUGACUUUGUCACGACAAGAUCUUCGAAACUAGAUCUCAUGUUGACAUGUUUCGACAAACUUUUUUUUUCUUCCAUAAUUGCUACAUUUUUCCACUCACUUGCUAUAUUAUUAACCACUUACUUGCUCAAUAAAAAUAACUUAAUUGCCAUAUUUUUUUAUGUCGUUUCGUGCAAAGAUUAUCGAUGCUUAUAAAUGCAGUCCCCAAAAUGUUUUGAUGUGUUUGUCAUUUUUAUUCUACUAAGUUGUCAUGUGGUCUCAUAAAAGCUUGUAGGUGCUUAUAAAAUCACAGUUUCUACAUAUAUUUUUUGUGCUUGUCAUUUUAAUCCUACCUCGUUAUCAUAUUGUCCCAAACAACUUGUGAGUCAUUGUAAAAAAAAUAGUUGUUACGGUGUUUGCUGUAUUUAUCUUUUGAAUUCUAUGCUCAAUUGUUAUGUUUUGUGGUAAUAAAAGGACAUUUGAUUGUUUUAAAACGUAGUUGUGCUAGUGUUGUGUUGUGUCGGUCAGUUAAAUUCUAUUAAAAUGAUAUGCUUUUAUAUCAUGUAUAAUAAAAUAUGUUACAAGGCUUUUGUACGAAAUAAUAUUAAAAAGUGACAAUCAAGUUAUUUUUUUAGGCAAGUAAGUGGUUACUAAUAUGGCAAGUGGGUCAAAAAAUAUGGCAAGUAUGAACAGAAAAAAAAAGUUGACGAAACAUAUCGAUAUGGGAUCUAGUUUUGAAGAACUCGUCGCGAGAAAGCCAAUGAUGAAAACGGAUCAUCGAUUGAAUUAACGGUUUUGGAGAUAAAACUUUUUGAAUUUCAAACAUAAAAAAGAAUCGCGGGUUGUCCUCCCGCCGCACGGCAAAGCAGCGCUGCGCAUGCUAUCAAUUAGAUUUUUCCUUUAUUUUUUAUUUCUUACCGGCAAAACGAUCCGUAUGUUGAAACGGAAAAAAAAUCAUAAUCUUUAAUGAACAUGAACAUAUUUUCCUGCAUCAUCAAGAUAAAAAAAUAUCACUCUCAUUUUCAUGAAAUCGUGGAUAGUUUUUAAAAAUACAGAACAUAUUAAACUCAUGAACAUAUUUGCAAUCGGGAAUAUGUUUCAAAUUCACAGACGUUUUUACAGAUUUUUGAACAUUUUCAAAGAUCAUGAACAUGUUAUACUAUUUUCACACAUUUUUUAAAAUAUAGGAAAAAUAUUAAACAUUUUUCCUGAAUUGGCGAACAUUUUUCUAGAACCGAAGAUCACUUUUUUGGAAAUUUGUCGGCCAAUUUCUGAAAUUCACCAACAUUUUUUUGAUUUUAAAAUUAUUUUUUGAGUUCCAUGAUCAUUUUUUGAAUCAGCGAACAUUUUAUGAAUCAUAAACUAUUGUGUAAUUCACGAUCAGUUUUUGAAUUUUCUCGAUAUUUUUCAAUUUAAGAACAUUUUUUGAAUUGUAUUUUUUUCAAUUGAUUAUUUUGUUAACAUAUGAACGUUGAUAACAAAUCAUGAUUUUUUUUUGGAUUUUCCGAACCUUUGCUACCAAAAUUAUGAAAUUUUUAUGAAUAGGUGUUAUUUAAAAUUGCAAAUAUAUUUUUUAAUCCACAGACGUUUAGAAUUAUUAAACAUUCUAUUACUAAAAAUGUAUUUAAAAAAUUCGGAAUUUGUUUGAAGUCCUGAAUUAUUUAAACUAGAAAGAACAAAGACGGAAAAGGAAAACAAAAUUUAGAAAAUAGGACACCCAGAUAUGGAUCAGCCCAAACAAGUGCGACGUGUUUUCUUCCAGCACACAGAGCACAGUGUAAGAGGUUCCUACUUGAUGGGCCAGCCCAAACGGGGAUUCCCUUUGUGAAAUGUUUGUUAUCACUUGUGGCAACGCUAGGUAAUAUUUUACAACUUUAAAGGUAAUUUAUGUGAUGCACCUUAAGAAGCACUAAUGCCUUUAUUAAUAUAGGUAUAUAUAUAUGCAACAGACUGUUUACACGUGCAAUCAAGUUUUGCAAGUCUUGGGCCUAUAUAUAUAUAUAUAUAUAUAUAUAGGCCCAAGACUUGCAAAACUUGAUUGCACGUGUAAACAGUCUGUUGCAGUUACUUUGGUUGUAGCCUAGAGAUGUGAAAUGUUAUUUCAACCAACCAGAAGAGAGUGCUUGAUACUUGUGAUCUGCAUUGAGUUUUUUAUAAAGAGGAAUGGAUGAUGCAUCACAGUAUAAAUGGUAAAUUGUAAUGCGUGCUCAAGUUCCGCAACACACCCAAUACAAUGACAAAUUGCAUAGGCGAACUAGUUCGGCGAAGAGAUGUGAUACAAGUGUAGUAUGGAUAGUAUAAAUAUAUUUUUAUAAUCCGAAUAAGUAAAAAGAGCGAGGCAACAAGUAGUAAACAACGAGAAAAACGGUAUAUUAAUGUUGGAAUUAUGCCCUAGAGGCAAUAAUAAAUAUAGUUAUUAUUAUAAUUCCUGUAUCAAGAUAAUAGUUUAUUAUCCAUGCUAUAAUUGUAUUGAAUGAAGACUCAUUUACAUGUGUGGAUACAUAGACAAAACACCGUCCCUAGCAUGCCUCUAGUUGGCUAGCCAGUUGAUCGAUGAUAGUCAGUGUCUUCUGAUUAUGAACAAGGUGUUGUUGCUUGAUAACUGGAUCACGUCAUUGGGAGAAUCACGUGAUGGACUAGACCCAAACUAAUAGACGUAGCAUGUUGAUCGUGUCAUUUUGUUGCUACUGUUUUCUGCGUGUCAAGUAUUCAUUCCUAUGACCGUGAGAUCAUAUAACUCACUGACACCGGAGGAAUGCUUUGUGUGUACCAAACGUCGCAACGUAACUGGGUGACUAUAAAGAUGCUCUACAGGUANNNNNNNNNNNNNNNNNNNNNNNNNNNNNNNNNNNNNNNNNNNNNNNNNNNNNNNNNNNNNNNNNNNNNNNNNNNNNNNNNNNNNNNNNNNNNNNNNNNNUCCUCGCCUCUAGCUCGCGCACCCCUCGCCGGAGUCGGCACCAGAGAGCUUCACCCAGGAGCUCCUCCAUCGCCCCCCCCUGCACGCUUUCCCCCUGCCGAGCCCACCUCACCCCGCCACCACCUCCCCACCACUCGGCCCCCUCCUCCACCACCCCUCCACCCCGCUGCUGCUCCUCCCCAUCACCACUACCAGGCAGCCAGGAGCUUCCCCGUCGGCUCCCCCACAUGCAGGCUCCCUCCUCCCCCUUCGGCCCUCCCCCCAGGAGUCUCCACCGGCCCCUUCCCCACCCCUCGCCGGCCCCUACCCCACCCCACCGGAGCUCACCCCGUGCACCCCCUUCCCACCUCGGCCACAAUAGCCAGCCACGGGAGCAGCUCCAGCCACGGUAAGGCUCCACUCCCCCUCCUGUUUCUUUUUUGUUUUUAUGUAGUAGCCCUUAGAUCCAUAAUCUACGGUGUAGAUUAGGAAGUACUUACCCCUUCGGUUUUCUAAAAAGAACCGGUCCAUCAGUUAAGUGAACCGAAGCAUUUUCUUAUUUAGCGGCCAUCCGCUGUUUAGUCUAUGCAGCAAACACCCCUUAGCCAAUCAGGGACUGCCACGUAGUUAGUUAGCUUUUAUUCUGUUUUUUUUUCAGAUUUAGUUCAAAAACAGAAAGUUCCAAUCUUGUUUAGCCCAUAACUUUUGAUCCCGAAGUCCAAUGAUAGUGAUUCUUUUUCCAGUAGCUCACAAAGUUCCUGUAGUUUCUAAAAACAUAUAAUUUGUAUAUGUUUGAAAUUUUCGAAUAUAAGUUAGAUCAGAUUUAGUUUAAACAUUGUUUUGCCUAUUCCAGGAGUUUAAAAAUAUCUUUUAAUCUGAUUCCUUUUGGUACUGAUCACUAGUGAUCCUAUUUAUAAGUGGUAAAAAUUUCCAAUUUGUUUGAGUAUAUUAGCUCACUGUUUCUUGUGAAACAAUUUCUGUUUCAUCUCUUUUAGGAUUUCGGCUAAUUCCUUUUCUACUUUUGUUUUAAAAUAUUUUCUUUAUUAUUUCAGAAACAUUAUUGUUUUGUUUAUGUUAGUUAACAGUAGUUUUGGAACAAGUUUUUAUUUUAUUUUUAUUUGUUUUCAUGAAAUCAAUUCUAGUUCCUUAUUAACUUGCAAUUGGUUUCCGCACUGUUUCAAAUCCCGUUUGGGAAUACUUUCAAAAAGUUUUGUGAAAAAUACUUUAUUUUAUCUUAGUUAAACUUAUAUCUUAGUUCCUUGUUAUUAUUUUCUGUUAGACAAAAACUAGUUAGUGUUUGAUGUAGAAGAAGACUCCUAGUUUAGUAAAGUUUCUUUCGGAUUCUUAUUCGCUCUCUCUUUUGUUUUGAUUGCUAGAAUGAUUGCUAGUAUGAGUGCUUAUGUGAAUGAUAUGUUUGUUAUAUAGAUUCCCUCGGAGAGUGACGAGUAGUCUAUCAAGUUAUUUUCUCGAGAAAUUCUUCUUCGUCAACAUCACCAGGCAAGUCACUUUGAUCAUACUAUCACCUAUGUUUUAUGCAUCGUAGUUCUACCAUCCUAUGCCCAAAUUGCAUGCUGCUUAAGUACUUGGAAAUUUUAGUAUAGGUUGUAGUAUCAUGUGGUAGGCACCCAACAACCCCGAUACUUGGCCCCGGGACGACAAAUUUCAUAUUGCUAUGCUUGAGGAGACGGGAUUUCGGUUGAGUGCAUAACACAAGUGAUGCGAGGUUGAUUAAAUAAUCAAGACCGGUUAAGACAAGAUUUUCAAGAUCUUGGACACAAUGCAACUCUGGGUGAAGGACGGUUGAUCGGCUCCCUGGAGAACCCAGUGGAUGACCCGGGAUGCUGGAGAGGCCAUGACAUCCUGCGGAAAGCUUCACCCAGGCUCAAAGAGACGGACGGAUAUUUUCAAGACCCAAGGCUUACCUGCACAGCCACAAGUCAUUAUGGGCUCUGGCUUGGUUGGACAACGCGGCGACUCUGGACAGGCGGUGCUAGCAGAUGUAGAAGAAUGGUAUGAAUGGAUGGGCACCGACAGGGAUUCAGAGGGACCCGUUGAAAGACCAUGUUUUGAUCAUCCGGUCUUCAAACACCCUGAAGUGYGAGGACAUACACGGAGGCGAUCAAAUCUUGUGGGGAACGUGUGCAAAACUCUACAGAGUACUCAAACCUAAUCGAUUAGCCGUGUCCACGGUCAUGGACAACUUGAGCCAAAGGAACUGAAGUUAUCUGGAUUUCUCAACACCAUUAUAUAUAUUUGAUGAGGGUAAUUAUUGACAACUCGGGUACGAGAACUGGUUGGCGGAACCAUCUCGUUAACAACCAACCUUGUAGUAAUAUUUUUCUUUUAGCCCUCUUGAUGUUGGAGAAAACUUGCUUUUCGCUAAAAAACUUAUAGCCCCAGCUGCCAUAAAUGCAUAUAGUAUAGAUGAUUACUUUUCACCCCUCUCUUAUGKGACUUGCCAGCAUAUUCAAUAUGCUGACCUACACGGCURCAACAUCUUAUGUUGCAGAUAUUUUUCUUCGAUGAGUAAGAGUACGAUUCAGGGUUACGGUCAACCCUCAACUUGCCGUUGGUGUUUAUUGGGACUCCACUCCCUUGACUGCUUCCGCUGAGAUAUUUAAGGUAUACAUCAGUUUUACGCUAUUUACAUGUGAUUGCACUUUGAUAUAUACAUUGAUGUACUCUGUGUGCCAGCAUACUGAUCCACGGAUGGCACAGAAACACAGAGGCUUGACUCGUCUUGAGUCGGGUCGCUACUGAAAUGGUAUCAGAGCACAUAUUGACUGUAGGACGUGACCCUAGAAACUAGAAAUUUCUUAGGAAAGGAUCUCUCAAAAAUUUUAUUUUCAACAACACCUUUUACUUCUCAUCUCUUCUGAUUUCAUCGAAUGUUCCCUCUCACCUCAAAUAGUUAGACAAUACCCUUACCCCUUUGACCUCAUGAAUAAUCAACGGAGUUCUACUUCAAAUUAAAGAGGAUUUCCUCAUGCAAUUGAAGCUACACCAAUUGAAGACUCUCAAGACCCGAAGAACUUGAAGACCCCGAAACGUUCGAAUAUUUAUAUGACCAUUAGAAGUCCAAACCCCUGUUAUAUACCCACGUUAGAUACGAUGAUUUGUGAGCCGUCAUUGGUGUGUGUUUUUCGAUAGCCACAAAUAAAACCCAUUCUCAAAAAUAUUGUUUGUAUUGUGUGUAUCUCCCUCCCUCUCUUACCCGUCUCAUCCCCAAAACCUCAACCCUACCAGAUGGAGUAUGAAGCUGGACUUGUAGUCUCUGGACCAAUGACCCAGCUAGAGGCUGAAAUAUGGACUCAGAACAUGGAGAACCACUUCGGGAGCAACUUGAUCUCAAGGAAGUAUGAAGUGGAACACGCUCUCUAGUACUUUACCCAAAGUGCUGCAAUCUGGUGGAAAAUGCACCAUGCCAUACAAGGAUUUAGUGGAGCAGAAACCUGGGACGAAUUCAAGAACACCCUGUUAAGAUCCCGUCUCAUUCGGAAGUGCUAUGAUAAUCCGAAGGAGAAGACUUGUGCAUGCAAGAUCUAUGGAGAAAUAGGACACACCCAGGAAGAACACAAGGAUCGAUGCACUCAUUGUGAAGAAAAUCACCCAGCUGAGGAGUGCCCAAGUAGUCAGGUGACUUGUUUCCUUUGUGAAGGAACCACCCACUACCCAGCUCAGUGUCACAUUUACCCCAAGGUGCAACAGGUUGUCAAGCAGCAGAAAGAUGCAGUGAAGGAACCCCUCAAGAAGAAGAUUCUAGAAGAACCGAUGAUGAACGAAAAUAUUGAAGACCCUGAUGGACAAGGUCUGACCAGAUUUUUCUCCAAUGCAUGUUACUCAUGUGGAGAAGAAGGACAUUAUUCACAGGAUUGCACGAAGGAAAGCCAAGAGUAGCUGGGAAACUUCCCGACGGAAGAAGUGGAGUUUGAUCCACUUGAAAUAGAAGAACUGGCCAAAAUAAAGGAGUCCAGAAAGAAGAAAAAGUACCCUCGGAAGAACCAAAUCUCUGCAGACAUAGACCUGAGUCAUGUCAGAUGUUACAAGUGUAUGAAAUUUGGCCACCACAAAUACAUGUGCUCAGGAAGGAAGCCGGAAAUCCAAGGAGCAAAAGAAAAAGCUAAGAGGCCUCGAGACUUGUCAGAACUCAUUUGCUUUCGUUGCAAGGAAGCAGGACAUUUUGCUAGCGAUUGUCCACAAAGGAAGAAAGCUAAGAAGGAGUAGUUAAGUUUUGACCGCGGCACUUAGUGUAAUAUGAAUAACUCUUGUUUUUCAUGAGAUCAUGGAGUGAAAUUUUGUAAAGAAGUCCCUGAGAUUGUAAUAACAUCAUGAAUAAAUGGAAUUUAUUGUCUCAUGAUUGCCUAUGUUGAAACUGUAUGCGUUGUUUCUCUGCGAACAAAGAUCUCUGAACAUUUAUGAGGAUAUGAGAAAAUAUGGUCUAUGCAUGCAUGAGUAUUAUUCAUUUUAAGUGUGGUAGUAAUCGGUAAACCCACAGGAUCCACUGAGUAGGAAUGUACCAUGAUUACCAAGGAGACACAUACAUUCCUCUGAGUACCUAUUUACUGACACCUACAGAUGACACCUCUCUACGAGUCAUUCCUCAAGGGCCCAGAAACGAUCAUGACCCUGACCAGUGACCAUGAUUACCCGAAAAUCCUGAAGGACAUGAUGAAGCACAUUCACCUUGAAGGAGAUGCAGUCUACAAAGGCUACCCAUUUAUGGAAAAUUGAGUGGAACUUUGGUACGUGGAAGUACACCUCCACCAUGUGAAAGGAGUUUGUCCAAAGACUAUGGGGAAAUACUUUUUCAUUUCACGUGUACCGCGAGCAACCUUCUUUGAUGCUGUUCGUGAAGCUGCCAUGGAAGCCAUACGUCAGAUUGGAGAAAUACUUGAAGCAAGACUCCGUCAUACCCAGGAAUACCUGAGUGAGGUACGUGCGUAGAUGAUGGAGAUGAAGCUCAUGACCACCAUGAUGAAGCGAAAGAUGGAUGAUUUCAAGGAGUACCUCGGAAAGUUCGAGUGGAAGUACCUCCAAGAGAGACAGAUGAAUAAAGUUGGCAGAAAUGCUUGACCAUACCGAACAAUGUGGAUGGCAGCAUUUGUAAUAAAUUACUUUUGAGUUAGAAUUUUGAAGAAAGCAAGGAUGUAAUAAAGGAUAGAUUAUGUAAUGAAUAUGAUUUAUGGAAGAAGCUAUGAUGGAUCAGCAAACGUUUUCUUAGGAGCAUACGAAAGCCAGAGAGUUGUGGAGAUACGAUAGAUGUUUCGUUCAGCUUGCAGAACCAAUGGUUUAUCCGAACUUCGUUCGUGGACAAGAGAAACUCUGCAACGCUUGUGAGGAUGCCCAAGUGUUAGAAUGCGAGAUUCGCUAAACCUUAUACAGAGAAAUGAUUUGGGUGCGGAAUGGAUCGAUCACCAUGACGACUUACUCUUAUCAUUUAUCUUGCUAUUCAGAAUGGUAAAUCUGAGAGACUUACCCAUAUAGAGAGAUGACGUUCUUUGAAGCUUUUGUUUAAGACUUAGAGUGGUAUAAGAAAAGCCCAUGCACAUGGCACUUGUUGACACGCGUAGGAAAUUUUACGAUGAGAAUGAAACCAAGACCCCACUCUCUGCAAGAUAACCACAAAUGGUAUACCACCAUGAGAACCAUCGAUAUGUUAUUUAGAAUUGACCGCGAGACUGUCAGUUAAGAAGACCCAGUAAAGGAAGAAGCUUAUAUCAACGGAAGAACUCUCGAUUUUGAUGGAAAACGUUAUGAAUGUAACGAAAGAGCUUCACCAGAGGAGUUAGUAUGAAGACUGUGAGGAGUCAGAUGCCAAAACCCCACCGGAUUGUCAAAAAUCUUAUGGGACAAGUAAUCUUCAUUUUAAGUGUAGUAGCAUCCCACUUUGCUGGAAGUUGGAUUUGUUAGAAGACCCCCAAACCCUAACGUUUCUUUCUAGCCUCUUCGAAUCUCGAGGACGAGAUUCAUUUUAAGUGUGGUAGGUUUGUAACAUCCCAAAUUUUGGAAUGUUAAAAUAAUUAUUAGAUUGUUUGUUUGUUUGCUUGAGUGAUUGAAACUUGUGUGAAAUUUGAAACUUUUCAAAAACUUUUGAAUGAUAGGGAAUAAAAUGACUUUCCCCAUCUCUGAUGAAUUCAAAUUCAAUCUUUUAAAAGAAAAGAGAGAAGAUGACAUGACUUCUUCAACUAUAAAGAAUUUGAACGGAGUUUGCAUUUGAAUCCUUUCAAAUUAUUUGCCCUUGCUUCUAUAUUUUUCUUCCCCGAGAAAAUGCCCCGACAAAAUUCUUGCACGCAUGAAAGAGCGGAGGAAAAUGACCCUCCAAAAACCAGGGCCAUUGAUUGAAAUAUUUUGAGCCAAGAAAAAACCAAAAUUUAAUUUGAGAAAAUAAUUGCAAAAAUAAAUAAUGCUUUUAGGGAUUUUUUGGAAAAACAUUUUUUUAAGUUUUCAUUUUGGCCGUUGAAAAAUGCCCAUCAUUUAGAUUUUAUUUUUCUGAUAAUUUUAGUAUAUAGAAACCUUAUAUUCCGAAUUGAUUUGAUUUGCCUUUUAUCGUUUUAGUUUCCUAGUUUUGAAAAAGGAAAGAAAUCGUGUUUAAAUGGAAAUAAACGGUCGCCCAUUAAAACCUUUCCAAAAACUGGCCCAACAGGAUCUUCUUCUUCCUCUAUCUCCUUCCUCACGUGCAUAGGACCUUCCUUAGCCAUGGACAGAGAAAUCCUCACUUCCGGAAUUCGCGAAGUUCUUUCCCUCCUAGCCUCUCCCGUCGCCCCUAUAAGAAGGCCCCGGUCCUCCUCGUUCCAUUCCCGUUGGAAUCGCCGCCUCUCCCCACCUCCUCCCCCCCCCCUGUGGACCUCGGCGGAGUCGGCCACAGGAACUCGCCGGCGACCUUCCCCAUCGCCCCUGCACCCCCUCCCCACCCCACCGACUUUCCCCAUCGCCCCUGCACCUCCUCCACCACCCCACCCCGUCGCCCCCCUGCAUCCCUCCCCAUCCCCACCGAGCUCCCUGCCAGGAGUUCCCCG
RNAcentral lists this long non-coding RNA (27003 nucleotides) under Hordeum vulgare. RNAcentral describes it as "long non-coding RNA (HVUL_LNC013703)". Lineage: Eukaryota; Viridiplantae; Streptophyta; Magnoliopsida; Poales; Poaceae. The record is from RNAcentral.